UCAGACGAUGCGUCAUGCAUAUCAAUAAGCGGAGGAAAAGAAACUAACAAGGAUUCCCCUUAGUAACGGCGAGUGAAGCGGGAAGAGCUCAAAUUUGAAAUCUUCAAGGUUUUACCUUGACGAAUUGUAGUUUAAAGAAGUGUUUUCUGCUGAAGUUUUGGUAAAAGUUCUUUGGAAUAGGACAUCAUAGAGGGUGAGAAUCCCGUAUUUGACCAUUAUUUUCAGCUUUGUGAUACACUUUCAAAGAGUCGGAUUGUUUGGGAAUGCAGUCCAAAAUGGGUGGUAAAUUUCAUCUAAAGCUAAAUAUUGGCGAGAGACCGAUAGCGAACAAGUACCGUGAGGGAAAGAUGAAAAGAACUUUGAAAAGAGAGUUAAAUAGUACGUGAAAUUGUCAAAAGGGAAGCGUUUGACACCAGUGUUGUUUUCUGAAAAUCAACCUCUGUUAGCUUUAUGCAUGUUUGUUUAGACCUAAUCAGCUAUCUUGCAUGUUCUAUUGUUUGCAGUGGUGCACUUUUCAGUUUACAGGUCAACAUCAGUUUUUUUUACCGUAAAAAAGUUAAAGAAAGGUAGCUCAUGGCUCCGGUCGUGAGUGUUAUAGUCUUUUUCCUAUGCGGUAGGAGAGACUGAGGUCUGCAGUGUAGGCUAUUUGGCUAGAUACUCAGGUGCUAUGUGAUACCAUUUCAUAAACAACUUGUUGAUUAUGUCUUGUCUAUUGCAUACUCGCUUGUACUAUCAUACCUACGCUUAGGAUGUUGACUGAUAUGUAGUCGU
Molecule: ribosomal RNA, 771 nt
Filed under: uncultured Neocallimastigales
Lineage: Eukaryota; Fungi; Neocallimastigomycota; Neocallimastigomycetes; Neocallimastigales
Description: partial large subunit ribosomal RNA
Rfam family: Eukaryotic large subunit ribosomal RNA
Source: RNAcentral